GGCUGAAAUUCGCCUACAUGAAGCCGGAAUUGCUAGUAAUGGCAGGUCAGCAUACUGCCGUGAAUACGUUCCCGGGCCUUGUACACACCGCCCGUCACACCAUGAGAGUUGGGAUACCCGAAGCCUGUGAGCCAACUAUAUAGAGGCAGCAGUCGAAGGUAGAAUCAAUGAUUGGGGUGAAGUCGUAACAAGGUAUC
Molecule: ribosomal RNA, 197 nt
Filed under: uncultured bacterium
Lineage: Bacteria
Description: partial 16S ribosomal RNA
Rfam family: Bacterial small subunit ribosomal RNA
Source: RNAcentral